AGUGAACGCUGGCGGUAGGCCUAACACAUGCAAGUCGAACGGCAGCACAGUAAGAGCUUGCUCUUACGGGUGGCGAGUGGCGGACUGGUGAGGAAUACAUCGGAUUCUACUUUUUCGUUGGUGAUAACGUAGGGAAACUUACGCUACUACCUCAUACGACCUACGGGUGAAAGCAGGGGAUCUUCGGACCUUGCCCGAUUGUAUGAGCCGAUGUCGGAUUAGCUAGUUGGCGGGGUAAAGGCCCACCAAGGCGACGAUCCGUAGCUGGUCUGAGAGGAUGAUCAGCCACACUGGAACUGAGACACGGUCCAGACUCCUACGGGAGGCAGCAGUGGGGAAUAUUGGACAAUGGGCGCAAGCCUGAUCCAGCCAUACCGCGUGGGUGAAGAAGGCCUUCGGGUUGUAAAGCCCUUUUGUUGGGAAAGAAAAGCAGCAGGUUAAUACCCCGCUGUUCUGACGGUACCCAAAGAAUAAGCACCGGCUAACUUCGUG
Molecule: ribosomal RNA, 492 nt
Filed under: uncultured bacterium
Lineage: Bacteria
Description: partial 16S ribosomal RNA
Rfam family: Bacterial small subunit ribosomal RNA
Source: RNAcentral